This 547-nucleotide long non-coding RNA is filed under the name Equus caballus (horse). RNAcentral's name for it is "lncRNA (ENSECAG00000056791.1)". Lineage: Eukaryota; Metazoa; Chordata; Mammalia; Perissodactyla; Equidae. The record is from RNAcentral.
AAAAAAUUUGUCCUUUGUUCUCUCUAAUGUUACAUGGUUUACAUUCAAAAGUUAAGGAACUAAUUUACUUUGAUUGUAAAUCAUCGUGUUUUUAAAUGGAACAUGGAAUGUAACAUCCUGGUGGUCGGGGAUUUUUGUCAGUUUUGUUCACUGAUGAUCCCGAAGUUCCUAGAAGAGCCCCUGGCAGAACAGUGGAUGUUCGGCAAACGCUCACUUGGGCAGACGGAUGGAGGAAUGGAUGGAUGGAUGGACGGACGGACGGACGGAUGGACUGACGCCUGCCUUUGACCUCUAUUGUGUCUGUGCUACCGUUCAUACUGGCUGCAAUUUCUGAGCGUGGAAAACCUGUGUUCUUUCCCAGCCUGAGGAAACAGCUCUGCAACAGGCUUUUGUGUCCCCAUGGCAGGAGAGAAAGUUUGCAGGCGAAAGGUCACUGCGAGAGACUGGCCGGCAGGCUCUCAGUCAGUUUCAUUUUCUCCCUGGUCACGGUCGAGACUAGAUUUCCCAGACUCCCUGCAGGUAGGUGUGGCCAACUCACUGGUUCCAG